UAUAAAAACCCUGGGCAGAGCAGUCAGGGAGUGGUAGCUGAAGGGGAAGGAGUAUUUCUCGCAGCUCUCUAGAGAGGCUUGGUGAGUGGUCCAAAGGCAGGAAGAGUGGAACUAUGGAAACCCCGGAGAGAUGGUAGCCGCAGCACAGCAAGGGCUGUAGCCGACAGUGGGGAGCCAAAGCAUGAACCUUGCGAAUCAGAUUUAGGUGCUUAACCUAUACUGGAAAAAAAACUUUCUGGCCUUUACAAGUCAAGCAGAGAGCUCGUGACACAGAACGAUAAAGUUGGAAGGGACCUGGAAAACCAUCUAGUCCAAACCUGGCAUAGAUCAAGGUUCACUGUUCCUAAACCAGCCCAGACAGAUAAACACCCAGCCUCUUUCUGAAAACCUCCAGUUUGAAAGAGAUCCCACAACUAGGCAAAUUGUUCUAAGUUAUGGAACCUGAUCUGCAGCUAAAGCCCCGACCUUACUACAAAACAAGUAUCAUCAAUCAUACUACUACCACCCUUGCUGUUGGAAAUGUCAAGCCAAAUCUUGCCUUCACGUAAGGAAUUCCACUGCUUUUCAGCAUGGCUAUUUGAAUUUACCUCCUUAUUUGCCAUUAACAACUUUAAACAGACCACAUUCAUUCUGGACUCUUUUUAUACUGCGCUGGACAACAAAUCAAGAUCUAAAUAUUGUAUUUUUAUUAAACAUGAGAGAGAGAAAGAGAGAAAGAGUGAGCUUUCUUGAGUCUGAUAAAUAAUUUAGGCCUAAUUCUCCGCUGUCUUUUAUGCUAUCCAAAAGAAAGUGCUUUCACAUUCAUUUUAUUCUCCUUUUGGACUGGUGAUAGUGACUGACACAGUACAGCGCAACAGAAAAUGGGGCCCACUUUGCACUAGGGUAAAUGAUAACAUAGGCUCUUCCAGACAGGAGCUGUCUUUUUUGUUUUAAGGCUGUACAGAACCUAGAAUAAUUAAAUACCAAUACAUCACAGUGCCUCCUAGUACACCACAUUAUCAUUAUCACUGUUGUAAAUAAUGAUGAUGAUGAUGAUAAUUACUUCCAGUGGAGAAUCAAGGUCUCAAAAGUUACUACAUGAAAACCGUAUUUAAUGUAUGAAUUAAACAUCUCUGGAACACAGAAUGAUUACGCAAAAUAUGUUUUCCAAAAACCUAUAGAAUUAGAGCAAUAAAUGAUUUUAAAAAU
Alligator mississippiensis (American alligator) is the source of this 1188-nucleotide long non-coding RNA. RefSeq lists it as uncharacterized. The record is from RefSeq and is a predicted model, not a curated record. NCBI's taxonomy places the organism in Eukaryota, Metazoa, Chordata, Crocodylia, Alligatoridae. The transcript is spliced from 3 exons.